Molecule: long non-coding RNA, 329 nt
Organism: Corticium candelabrum
Lineage: Eukaryota; Metazoa; Porifera; Homoscleromorpha; Homosclerophorida; Plakinidae
Exons: 3
Source: RefSeq, a predicted model, not a curated record
CUUUAGCGUCUGGUUCAGAGGAGUUUCGACUUCAUUGUUCACAUUUACCCUUUUCAAACAUCCAGGCUGUUAAAUAUCUGUUAUUGAGAUUCUGUGGGACUUGACAUGUCAGGGGUUGAUCAAAAUUAUGGACAACUUGACUAGUGCCCCGCCAUGACACUACAAAGCACGCCUUCUGAAGCCCUCCUUUUCCCCAAAGCUUGACCUGCACAAGUGAUGUCAGCUCUGAGGUUACCAGUCAUUAAAUGUGGACAAAGACGAGAGCAUUGAGAAAGUCAUGGUAGAGACAGCUGGGCUCUUUAUGGAUGGCUGAUGUUCUAGAGAGUAGG